AGGAUGAACGCUGGCGGCGUGCCUAAUACAUGCAAGUCGAGCGGUAAGGCUUUCACUCUGUGUUUAACUAGUUUGAACCCAGUGUGAAAGUACACGAGCGGCGGACGGCUGAGUAACACGUAGGAACGUACCCCAAAGUGAGGCAUAAGCACCAGAAAUGGUGUCUAAUACCGCAUGUGGCCCACGGGCUAAAGCUCCGGCGCUUUGGGAACGGCCUGCGCAUGAUUAGCUUGUUGGUGAGGUAAAAGCUCACCAAGGCAGUGAUCAUUAGCUGGUCUGAGAGGAUGACCAGCCAGACUGGGACUGAGAACGGCCCAGACUCCUACGGGAGGCAGCAGUAGGGAAUUUUCCACAAUGGGCGAAAGCCUGAUGGAGCAACGCCGCGUGCAGGAUGAAGGCUCGUAGGGUCGUAAACGUGUCUUUUAUCUGUGACGAAUAUGACGGUAGCGAGAUAGAAUAAGGAUCGGCUAACUCCGUGCCAGCA
This 484-nucleotide ribosomal RNA is filed under the name uncultured bacterium. RNAcentral describes it as "SSU rRNA". It matches the Rfam family "Bacterial small subunit ribosomal RNA", at positions 26 to 513 of the family's 1533-position model. The record is from RNAcentral.